CGCAGACACUGAGGCCAGGUGAGAGGGUCCUGCUGCCGUGGUGGCCCACAAGGCGCCCGGUGUCUCUCCACCUGUCCGCUUGCCUCUCCUGACUGGGCUCCUUCUGCCUCCCACAGCCUCCAUCCUCUCCUGUGCCUCUCUCGGCCUGUGUCUUCAUCUCUGCCCCCACCCCACACACACAUACUUCAUCUCUCGGUCUCUGUUUCUGUUCCCCUCUCUCUGCUUCAAUCUCUGUAUCUAAUUUUCCCUGCCCCCUCUUUCUCUCUGCCUGUGUCUCUCCAUCUGUCUCUCUGAUUUUCUACCUCCCUUCAACUGUGUCUCUCAGCCCAGUGCUUCCUCUAUCUCUGAUGUUCUAUGUGUCCUGAUUUUCCUUUUCUCCUUAUUUCUUUCCAUAUCUGUCUUUGUCUCUCUCUUGUCUUUGCCUUUCUCUGUCUCUCUCCAUCUCUCUGCCUCUCUCUGAUUCUCCCUCUCUAUCUCUGCCUGGCUGUUUCAACCCCUUGCUUCCCAUCUCCUAUUUUCAGGCCUCUCUUCUUCCCUCUUUCCCUCUGCUGGCCGGAGCCCUGUGUUCUUUCCUGAAUAAAGCUGGUUCUGUCCUGGCUCCCCCUUCUCUGCCUCCGUCUUUCCUCCCCCCUCUGCCCCCACCCACGCCCAGCCCAGAUCCUGGGUGAGGAGCUCAGUAUUGGCAGCAGGGUCAUUCCCUUCUGCCCCACACAAUAGGAAGGAGGGGUGGAGAGCAGGGACUCAAGACCAGAGAGGCAGGGAGUAAGGUCAGCCCAGAUGAGGGACAGUGGCUCAUGGGAUUCAGAGGUCAGGCAGCACCCCACACCCGGCAGAUCGGGCUCUCCUCCCCCUCGGACCAGGCUGUGCCAGCACCAGGACAAUGCGCCCUUGUCUCCUGUCCUGACAGCUGGGGGCUCCUGCCUCCAGCUCCUUCAGAGAAGCCAGUGGCUUUCUGCUCCACCCUAGACCCUGAAGGCAGGACGCAAGGAAACCAACUCAGAGAGAGUAAAGAGCUGCCCACAGACACAGGCAUCAGCAAUGGAAGGCCUCAGCAGACCACAGUUUUCCAGAUGAAAACAUCUGCAACAUGCGUAACACCUGCAGGACACUGGAGACCAGCAGCUGCUAGGACAGAGGCUCCUUAGGACUCACCUGCCUGAAGGACCAACAUGACAUGCCCAGCACAGAUCACCUGUGUGUGUGUGUGUGUGUGUGUGUGUGUGUGUGUGUGCGCCUAAUGGGACUGUCACCACCUGUUGGCACAGAAUGGAACUGCAACCCAGUUGUAUUAGGCACUGAAAUUUGUCCCCAAUAAAGGACAGUUGGGGCGAGGGAAGCUGUAGAGAGACAUGGAAAAUUCUGUAAAAAUGAAUAUUUUUGCUCCUAAUAAAGAAACAUUCACAAGAAGUGUUUGUG
RNAcentral lists this long non-coding RNA (1416 nucleotides) under Cricetulus griseus (Chinese hamster). RNAcentral's name for it is "lncRNA (ENSCGRG00015038450.1)". Lineage: Eukaryota; Metazoa; Chordata; Mammalia; Rodentia; Cricetidae. The record is from RNAcentral.